CCUACGGGUGGCAGCAGUGAGGAAUAUUGGUCAAUGGGCGGAAGCCUGAACCAGCCAAGUCGCGUGCGGGAUGAAGGCCCUACGGGUCGUAAACCGCUUUUGUACGGGGAUAACACCCUCCACUUGUGGAUGUCUGCAGGUACCGUACGAAUAAGGGUCGGCUAAUUCCGUGCCAGCAGCCGCGGUAAUACGGAAGGCCCGAGCGUUAUCCGGAUUCAUUGGGCUUAAAGGGUGCGUAGGCGGGCGUUCAAGUCAGCGGUAAAAUCGCGCGGCUCAACCGCGCCCCGCCGUUGAAACUGGACGCCUUGAGUUCACAAGAGGCAGGCGGAAUUCGUGGUGUAGCGGUGAAAUGCAUAGAGAUCACGAGGAACCCCGAUUGCGAAGGCAGCCUGCCGGGGUGCGACUGACGCUGAGGCUCGAAGGUGUGGGUAUCAAACAGGAUUAGAUACCCUUGUAGUC
This 459-nucleotide ribosomal RNA is filed under the name uncultured bacterium. RNAcentral describes it as "partial 16S ribosomal RNA". It matches the Rfam family "Bacterial small subunit ribosomal RNA", at positions 338 to 795 of the family's 1533-position model. The record is from RNAcentral.